This 72-nucleotide transfer RNA is filed under the name Camelus bactrianus (Bactrian camel). It matches the Rfam family "tRNA". Rfam says of the family: Transfer RNA (tRNA) molecules are approximately 80 nucleotides in length. Their secondary structure includes four short double-helical elements and three loops (D, anti-codon, and T loops). RNAcentral also lists the same sequence under 2 other names. The record is from Rfam by way of RNAcentral. Lineage: Eukaryota; Metazoa; Chordata; Mammalia; Artiodactyla; Camelidae.
GAGGGCAUAGCUCAGUGGCAGAGUGCAUGCCUAGCAUGUGCAAGGUCCUGGGUUUGAUCCCCAGUACCUCCA